GUUGAAACAUCGGCUACCGUACGAUCACAGAUGUUAAGCAGCGUCGAGCUUGGUCAGUACUUAGAUGGGUGACCGCUUGCAAUGACCAGGUGCUGUAC
Acanthosepion pharaonis is the source of this 98-nucleotide non-coding RNA. NCBI's taxonomy places the organism in Eukaryota, Metazoa, Mollusca, Cephalopoda, Sepiida, Sepiidae. The record is from the annotation of a GenBank genome assembly.